Long non-coding RNA from Oreochromis niloticus (Nile tilapia), 296 nucleotides. RefSeq lists it as uncharacterized. The record is from RefSeq and is a predicted model, not a curated record. NCBI's taxonomy places the organism in Eukaryota, Metazoa, Chordata, Actinopteri, Cichliformes, Cichlidae. The transcript is spliced from 3 exons.
ACAUCUGGGAGGUCACAGAGGCCCAAUAAGAGGGCCUGGCAGGUCAGGAGAAAGAGAGCAGCAGAGAUGGCGGAGUAGCUGGUGGCAGGCGGCGGCCGCAAGCGCCGGCGGCGGCACUGGUGCGGUUUGGUGCAACAGUACGUGGCGACGGCAUACGAUGGCCAGCGCGUGGAGAGGCAGAGCUAAAAAUUUUCUCCUGACAACAUGUGCAAAACUCUUUGGGCCCUUUGACACCAAGCAUCAGUGUGGCAGUCUCCUGACAGAGGCACACGAGGAAAAAAACACCAACUCCAAAU